UCCAGGCGCAGUGGCCCGAGUCUGUAAUCCCAGCUACUCGGAAGGCUGAGCCCGGAGGAUCGCUUGAGUCCAGGAGUUCUGGGUUGCAGUGUGCUAUGCAGAUCUGGUGUCCGCACUAAGUUCGGCAUCAAUAUGGUGACCUCCAGGGAGCUGGAGGACACCAAGUUGCCUAAGGAGGGGUGGAACCGGCCCAGGUCGGAAACGGAGCAGGUGCAAACCCCAGUGCUGAUCAGAAGGAUAUUCUCAUGAGAGUAUCACAAGGACUCAAUAACAAUGAACCUAUGGUCAU
Molecule: unclassified non-coding RNA, 289 nt
Organism: Dipodomys ordii (Ord's kangaroo rat)
Lineage: Eukaryota; Metazoa; Chordata; Mammalia; Rodentia; Heteromyidae
Rfam family: Metazoan signal recognition particle RNA
About the family: The signal recognition particle (SRP) is a universally conserved ribonucleoprotein.
Source: Ensembl